Molecule: long non-coding RNA, 349 nt
Organism: Schistocerca gregaria
Lineage: Eukaryota; Metazoa; Arthropoda; Insecta; Orthoptera; Acrididae
Exons: 3
Source: RefSeq, a predicted model, not a curated record
UCAUAUAGGUUACACCGUUUUAGCGAUGAGAAGGCCGUCGGAAAUUCUGCUCGGUUUGAGCGUAUUCUUGGGACUGUGGUCGCUUUCGUGCUUGACUCUGUCACAGCGAACCAAAACCUCUUCGUGUGAAAUGUGGCUCGAACGCGCUGUUUUUUUUUUGCCGGUUGAGCUGGUUGUUUUGUUAGGGGUGCACUUCUUGUACAAGGCCGUACCGCAUGUCAUUUUCUACUCGGAUUUCGACGAAGAGGCUGAAUCUUUGAAAAUGGACAUCAAAAACGCUACUCAAGGGCUUUCAGAGAAGGGAUUCGUCUUUGCCAGGGAGCAGUGAUAUACAAAAUGUACAAAUUGG